GGAGCUUGCUCCCUGAUGUUAGCGGCGGACGGGUGAGUAACACGUGGGUAACCUGCCUGUAAGACUGGGAUAACUCCGGGAAACCGGGGCUAAUACCGGAUGGUUGUUUGAACCGCAUGGUUCAAACAUAAAAGGUGGCUUCGGCUACCACUUACAGAUGGACCCGCGGCGCAUUAGCUAGUUGGUGAGGUAACGGCUCACCAAGGCAACGAUGCGUAGCCGACCUGAGAGGGUGAUCGGCCACACUGGGACUGAGACACGGCCCAGACUCCUACGGGAGGCAGCAGUAGGGAAUCUUCCGCAAUGGACGAAAGUCUGACGGAGCAACGCCGCGUGAGUGAUGAAGGUUUUCGGAUCGUAAAGCUCUGUUGUUAGGGAAGAACAAGUACCGUUCGAAUAGGGCGGUACCUUGACGGUACCUAACCAGAAAGCCACGGCUAACUACGUGCCAGCAGCCGCGGUAAUACGUAGGUGGCAAGCGUUGUCCGGAAUUAUUGGGCGUAAAGGGCUCGCAGGCGGUUUCUUAAGUCUGAUGUGAAAGCCCCCGGCUCAACCGGGGAGGGUCAUUGGAAACUGGGGAACUUGAGUGCAGAAGAGGAGAGUGGAAUUCCACGUGUAGCGGUGAAAUGCGUAGAGAUGUGGAGGAACACCAGUGGCGAAGGCGACUCUCUGGUCUGUAGUAA
This 683-nucleotide ribosomal RNA is filed under the name Bacillus subtilis. RNAcentral describes it as "bacterial SSU rRNA". It matches the Rfam family "Bacterial small subunit ribosomal RNA", at positions 75 to 743 of the family's 1533-position model. The record is from RNAcentral. Lineage: Bacteria; Bacillati; Bacillota; Bacilli; Caryophanales; Bacillaceae.